Molecule: long non-coding RNA, 616 nt
Filed under: Anas platyrhynchos platyrhynchos (common mallard)
Lineage: Eukaryota; Metazoa; Chordata; Aves; Anseriformes; Anatidae
Description: lncRNA (ENSAPLG00000025609.1)
Source: RNAcentral
UGGCUGUCAUCGCUGCCCUGGCUGGAUUUGCUGUCUGGAAGAGCAAGCAGGGUAACGUGCCUGGGCAGGGAAGAAGGAGAAGGGCUACAAUGUGGCACCAGGCAUGAUGCUGUGAGUGGUGCCCUGUGGAGCGUGUUCCAGUGCCUGACCACCCCGUCAGUGAAGAACCUUUUUGUGAUAUCAAUCCUGAACCAUCCCGGUUGCAGCUUCAAGCCAUCUCCUCAGGUCCUAAUCGCUGGUAACUGUGAGAAUGAAAGUUGUCUCUUUGCAGUAGAAACUUCCACUAACCUUGCAUAUUCAAAAGUGAUUGUGCAUGCUUAACAGUGGGGGGUAUGGUUGUCGUGGUAAUGGUUGGUCAAGUGAAACUGUACCUACCUGGUAUAGUAAUAAGUGUCGAGUAGUUUGUGAACCUGUAGCACUCAGCCAAUGAGGAAACAGGGGAGGAAUCAAGUGUCAGCUAAUAGGGAAUAUAAGGUUAUGAUGUACUUGCAGCACGUCCGCCAUUGCAAUCACAAAAAUGCUGCUUCAAUGUCCUGGUUUCAGUUAGAACAGAAUUAAUUUUCUUCCUAGUAGCUGGUGGAAUGCUGUGUUUUGGCUUAGGAUGAGAAGAGUGCUG